UACGAAGGGGGCUAGCGUUGUUCGGAAUUACUGGGCGUAAAGCGCGCGUAGGCGGCGCAUCAAGUUGGGAGUGAAAUCCCGGGGCUUAACCUCGGAAUUGCUCUCAAAACUAGUGUGCUAGAGAGUGGUAGAGGAUGAUGGAAUUUCCGGUGUAGAGGUGAAAUUCGUAGAUAUCGGAAGGAACACCAGUGGCGAAGGCGGUCAUCUGGGCCAUUUCUGACGCUCAUGUGCGAAAGCGUGGGGAGCAAACAGG
RNAcentral lists this ribosomal RNA (253 nucleotides) under uncultured bacterium. RNAcentral describes it as "partial 16S ribosomal RNA". It matches the Rfam family "Bacterial small subunit ribosomal RNA", at positions 524 to 776 of the family's 1533-position model. The record is from RNAcentral.